AGUGAACGCUGGCGGUAGGCCUAACACAUGCAAGUCGAACGGCAGCACAGUAGGAGCUUGCGCUUACGGGUGGCGAGUGGCGGACGGGUGAGGAAGACAUCGGAAUCUACUUUGUCUGGGGGGAGAACGUAGGGAAACUUACGCUAAUAUCGCAUACGACCUACGGGAUAAAGCAGGGGAUCUUCGGACCUUGCGCGAUUGGAUGAGCCGAUGUCGGAUCAGCCAGUUGGCGGGGUAAAGGCCGACCAAGGCGACGAUCCGUAGCUGGUCUGAGAGGAUGAUCAGCCACAUUGGAACUGAGCCACGGUCCAGACUCCUACGGGGGGCAGCAGUGGGGAUUAUUGGCCAUUGGCCGCAGGCCUACUCCGGCCCUCCCGCGUGGGUGAAGAAGGCCUUCGGGUGGUAAAGCCCUUUUGUUGGGAAAGAAAAGCAGCAGGUUAAUAACCCGCUGUUCUGACGGUACCCAAAGAGUAAGCACCGGCUAACUUCGUG
RNAcentral lists this ribosomal RNA (492 nucleotides) under uncultured bacterium. Its description in RNAcentral is "partial 16S ribosomal RNA". It matches the Rfam family "Bacterial small subunit ribosomal RNA", at positions 29 to 507 of the family's 1533-position model. The record is from RNAcentral.